RNAcentral lists this ribosomal RNA (661 nucleotides) under Saccharomyces douglasii. RNAcentral describes it as "large subunit ribosomal RNA". Lineage: Eukaryota; Fungi; Ascomycota; Saccharomycetes; Saccharomycetales; Saccharomycetaceae. The record is from RNAcentral.
GAUCGAAUUAUUGUUUAUUAUAUUCAGCAUAUUAAGUAAUCCUAUAAUUUUAGGUAAUCGUUUAGAUAUUAAUGAGAUACUUAUUAUAAUAUAAUGAUAAUUCUAAUCUUAUAAAUAAUAAUUAAUUAAUUAAUUAAUUAAUUAUUAAUACUUAAUAGAUAUAAUUUCUUAAGUAAUAUAUAAUAUAUUAUAUUAUUAUAUGUAUUAUAUAUAUAUAUAAGAGACAAUCUCUAAUUGGUAGUUUUGAUGGGGCGUCAUUAUCAGCAAAAGUAUCUGAAUAAGUCCAUAAAUAAAUAUAUAAAAUUAUUGAAUAAGAAUAAUAUAUAUUAUAUAUAUUAAUUAUAAAUUGAAAUAUAUUUAUAUUUUUAAUGAAUAUAUUUUAGUAAUAGAUAAAAAUAUGUACAGUAAAAUUGUAAGGAAAACAAUAAUAACUUUCUAUUUAUUAAUUUAUAAAAAAAGUAUAGAAAGAAUUAGAUUAAUAUAAUGGUAUAACUGUGCGAUAAUUGUAACACAAACGAGUGAAACAAGUACGUAAGUAUGGCAUAAUGAACAAAUAACACUGAUUGUAAAGGUUAUUGAUAACGAAUAAAAGUUACGCUAGGGAUAACAGGGUAAUAUAACGAAAGAGUAGAUAUUGUAAGUUAUGUUUGCCACCUCGAUU